GGUUAAGAAGAACUUAAGAAGCCCUGUGGAGGUGGCAACGAGCUUGCCAGAGCGGGCAGGGGAGGGAGGCUUCGCUGAGGAGGUGACUUGGGAACUAGGCUUUGAAAGAUGGCAGAACAGGGACAGAAGGAGAGAGGAAGCGGCAGGCAAUUUCCAAUCCAAGGAAUCAGCGUAUGCAAAGGCAGAAAAUCAUAUAAGAAAAGAAAUACAGCCGAAAGAUCUGCCUGCUUCAGAAUACAACAGAAGCAAUGCUGCAUCAUCUUUUUCACUCCCUUGGAAGACAGAUGCCAUGUGAAAAUGCUUCAGCUGGGCUACUGGAUUACUCGAGACCAGGAGGAUGGGGGCAUCACAUGAGGGAGAACCAAGACAUCCCACCCAACAGCACCCAGGCCCAGACAUGUAGAUGAAGACAUCUUAAAUUUUCCAGGUUGUGUGCACAGAUCCCUUCCCUGAUUUCCCUGAUGACUCAAAGCCCCUUUUCUAGACUCAGUUUCCUGUCCAAGCCACUAUUUCCUGAAUAGCCACUUUACCGGCUAUUCAUACAAGUCACAGUACUAUGGGACGUCGGGCACCCCAACCACGCAGCCCCAGCCGCCCUGGCUUGUCCUCAGGCUGUUUGUCUGGGGUUGCGCCCCAGCCAAACUCAAAGAGAACUUGGUCCCACACCAAAUUUUAGAGAAGGACUAUGAAACCGAAGGCAGAAAACACCAAAGGGGACGUGAAGGAGAUGGCUCUCCACUACUGCCAACUGAGGCUCAAACCUUGACGCGAACUACGGACCAAAACUCAAAACGGAAACCGGAGCGGGCGUCCGCUUCUCCGAGCGCCGUGGGAGCCGGCUCUCCGCGCUCCCGCGGGCCCCGCCGCCGCCGCCGGUCCCUCAGGGAGGACAGCCGCGCUCCGCUGGGCUCCGCGGGGCAGACCGCGGCCGCAGCCGGCGCCUCGGCGCCUUUGUCUCUCGCGCGCCCUGGCCUCGAGGGCUCCAGACGCCAUCGCGAUGAGGAGGCGCGCGGCGG
Long non-coding RNA from Chinchilla lanigera (long-tailed chinchilla), 1016 nucleotides. RefSeq lists it as uncharacterized. Lineage: Eukaryota; Metazoa; Chordata; Mammalia; Rodentia; Chinchillidae. The transcript is spliced from 3 exons. The record is from RefSeq and is a predicted model, not a curated record.